CAAUAGCGUAUAUUAAAGUUGUUGCGGUUAAAAAGCUCGUAGUUGGAUUUCUGCUGAGAACGACCGGUCCGCCCUCUGGGUGUGUAUCUGGCUCUUUCUUGGCAUCUUCUUGGUGAACGUUGCUGCACUUGACUGUGUGGAGCGCUACCCAGGACUUUUACUUUGAGGAAAUUAGAGUGUUUCAAGCAGGCAUACGCCUUGAAUACAUUAGCAUGGAAUAAUAAGAUAGGACCUCGGUUCUAUUUUGUUGGUUUCUAGAGCUGAGGUAAUGAUUAAUAGGGAUAGUUGGGGGCAUUCGUAUUUAACUGUCAGAGGUGAAAUUCUUGGAUUUGUUAAAGACGGACUACUGCGAAGGCAUUUGCCAAGGAUGUUUUCAUUGA
Molecule: ribosomal RNA, 380 nt
Filed under: uncultured eukaryote
Lineage: Eukaryota
Description: partial 18S ribosomal RNA
Rfam family: Eukaryotic small subunit ribosomal RNA
Source: RNAcentral